CCUAAAGGCGUAAUGAAAGUAAAGAUUGUCCUUGCGAUAAUUGAGGGAGGAUGAGUUGCGUUACGAUGCUACUCCGCACUCCCGGGGCGUCUCGUUCUUAUUACAAGAAGAGGCGCACCCAGAGCGUACACGUUGGGACCCGAAAGAUGGUGAACUAUGCCUGGUCAGGAUGAAGUCAGGGGAAACCCUGAUGGAGGUCCGUAGCGAUUCUGACGUGCAAAUCGAUCGUCGGAACUGGGUAUAGGGGCGAAAGACUAAUCGAACCAUCUAGUAGCUGGUUCCCUCCGAAGUUUCCCUCAGGAUAGCUGGCACUCGCGUGAACNAGUCUCAUCNGGUAAAGCNAAUGAUUAGAGGCCUUGGGGCCGAAACGACCUCAACCUAUUCUCAAACUUUAAAUGGGUGAGAUCUCUGGCUUGCUUGAAUAUAUGAAGCCAU
This 435-nucleotide ribosomal RNA is filed under the name Eubazus (Aliolus) sp. 3 BJS-2011. RNAcentral describes it as "eukaryotic LSU rRNA". It matches the Rfam family "Eukaryotic large subunit ribosomal RNA", at positions 707 to 1106 of the family's 3401-position model. The record is from RNAcentral. Lineage: Eukaryota; Metazoa; Arthropoda; Insecta; Hymenoptera; Braconidae.